CCUACGGGAGGCAGCAGUAGGGAAUAUUGCUCAAUGGGGGAAACCCUGAAGCAGCAACGCCGCGUGGAGGAUGAAGGUUUUCGGAUCGUAAACUCCUUUCGUUAGAGAAGAUAAUGACGGUAUCUAACGAAUAAGCACCGGCUAACUCCGUGCCAGCAGCCGCGGUAAUACGGAGGGUGCAAGCGUUACUCGGAAUCACUGGGCGUAAAGAGCGCGUAGGCGGGAUAGCAAGUCAGAUGUGAAAUCCUAUGGCUUAACCAUAGAACUGCAUUUGAAACUGUUAUUCUAGAGUAUGGGAGAGGUAGGUGGAAUUCUUGGUGUAGGGGUAAAAUCCGUAGAGAUCAAGAGGAAUACUCAUUGCGAAGGCGACCUGCUAGAACAUAACUGACGCUGAUGCGCGAAAGCGUGGGGAGCAAACAGGAUUAGAUACCCCUGUAGUC
This 440-nucleotide ribosomal RNA is filed under the name uncultured bacterium. RNAcentral's name for it is "partial 16S ribosomal RNA". It matches the Rfam family "Bacterial small subunit ribosomal RNA", at positions 338 to 795 of the family's 1533-position model. The record is from RNAcentral.